UUUUUCAUCCACUUCUCGCUAUUUGUAAUUCUACUUGAAUUAGUUCUUCCUAAGUUUAGUGAGGUGAGUACUGCAUCCAUAACUAGAGGACUUGCUUUUCUGCUUGGCUCCCAGGGGAAGUUGGAUUGGAUAAGAGGAAUUGAAGCGCAAGGAAGGCAGUCGGUAUUCAAACAACUAUUCAGAGUUCCCAACUCUGGGUAAAGGAAAUCUUUACUUGACGACUGAACCAAAUCCUUUGCCUUUAUUUAUUCUAUUAUUUUUAUAUAGAUCAGCUGAAAACAAAAAUACUACUACGUUGGGACAAUGACCCACCUUUCUCUACUCAACCUGUCAUCUUCUCUCCUCGCUCCCUGGGACAAAUAAGACUAUUUAUUAAGUGAUAAACAAGAGAAACUAGUGAUAUUAUCUAAGCUUCUGGCCAUGUCUGAUUGGCAUUCAAGUCUGCCUUCCAUUGCUUGAAAAGGCCUAGCACCGUAAGUAGCAAUUGGCUAUGUCCAAACUCAAACGUCGUAUUUUAUCUAAGCACAGGAAUCGUAAUAAGGAAAGAAGACAUAAGAAUGGGAAGUAUCCGCUAGUUAUAACGUAGUAUAAAGAGAGCUAUUUCAUGGAUCUUGGUCACAAUAAAAAGAAUCCAAUAAUGAUCUAUCAACUAAAUGAGUUGAUUAUAUAGGCGAAAGUGCACGGAGGAUCUGUGAUUCCUCCUACCUUAUGAGCCCUUAUGAAAUGCCAUUUUGAAUGAUGGACAAAUCAUGGGUGUCGGCGGUCUAGUCAGAGCAUUUUGGAGCGCCUGAGCGGGCAAAGUAGGUUGACCCGUCCCGAGGGGGAGGGAACAAACGGGCAAUUGAACACCAUAGGGCACAAACGAAUCGCCAGUAACGACCUGUAUAUAUCAGGCAAGAGGUGCUACUCCGACCCGGAAUCCUGCGUGAUGGUUGGUCACCUUACCAAUAAUCUUCUUAAUGUUGGAGAAAAUGAGGAUCAUUGACUUAAAUUGGAAUUGAUACCUAGAAAACUUGGUUCUAGCUUGCCACCCCAGAAGGCAACGUAUACACAAGUAUAGACUAUAGGUAACACUGUAGGGUACAGCCUUGGGUAGUCUUAGGGUUUUCCAAGAUAUGAUAUGAUCGGGUUAUUUAUUAGAAUUGGAAAUAGCUAGACGAAUAAGUAGGCUUUAAAAGUACGAAUAAAGUAGGCCUUCUAACUCAAAGUACUCCAGCUUAAGGAAAGACAUGCAACAUUGGUGAUCAACAUAUUGAAUUUCCGCUAUUCCGUUCCGGGAAAACACUUGUUUUUUCACGUUUUUCCUUCGCUGUUCUUUCCUGGAUUUUUUGUUGAUGAUUCUUCCCCUUAAAAAAAGCUUUUCCCUAAAAAAAAUAUGUGGCCCUUUUCUUUCCCGAAAAGGCAUUCAUUGUUCGUUCUGUGCCAGGAACCAGAUUUGAAUUGGUGACACGAGGAUUUUCAAUCCUCUGCUCUACCAACUGAGCUAUCCUGACUAUUUAUUGUGCAUCAUCCUAGUAGAGUACUUGUAUCUAUGUCAAUUAAAGGGACUCAAAAAGAAAAAAGUAUUCUCAAAUUGGACUUAGUAAAUAUCAGGAUAAUGAUAUGGAUUGUGAAUGACUUACUUAAUAAUAGGGAUUACUUGCCUAUACUAUAAUAUGUUCAUUUGUAUGAAUGGGAUAAGAUCCAAAGAAGUCAGUUCGGAUCCGUUUGUGAAAGAGUAGAAUAAGAAAGAUAGUGAAUCUUGUUUGAACCAUUAAUGAAAAAUAGAGGUUGGUACAAUAGUUAGGAAGUAAAAUGGGCUUUUUAUUGGGGAUAGAGGGACUUGACCCUCACGAUUUAGAAAGUCGACGGAUUUUCCUCUUACUAGAAAUUUCAUUGUGGUCGGUAACAUUGGUGAAUUAACAGAAACGGAAAGAGAGGGAUUCGAACCCUCGGUAAACAAAAGCCUACAUAGCAGUUCCAAUGCUACGCCUUGAACCACUCGGCCAUCUCUCCUACAUAAUCUUAUUAUUGACCAGAAACUGAGUGAAUAGCGAGUUUUCGUAUCACUAAAGUACAGGUACAACCGAUCACAGGUUCCAUAGGGAGUUUGACUUCCUUUCCAAUUUCAUAUUUCUCAACAACAACUUCUCUCAUCCCCACGGAUCUAUUCAAAAUUCUGGAAUCGUCCCAUGUUUCUAUUUCGAUUGUAUGGCGUGGCGUAUACACGUUAUGCAAACAGAACGUAUGGUUACUUUACUCUAUUUUCUCAUGGCUUGUUAAACCUUUCUUUUUUCUUUUUGGAUCAUAACCAAAUAAAAACUUCUCGAGUUAUCAGAAUCCAUAGUCAAAUUCAGUCCUUGGUUAUUCAAGUUAGAUGAAAUAGUAAUAGUUUGGCUCACAUUGGUAUACUACGAAAUCCAAUCUGAUCCAAAUAUUGAAUAUCUCUCCUUGUCGGGACAAUUUAAGCAGAAUAAAAUAUCUAUUAUCGAUUUUUUAGAAUCAAAUUAGUCUGUUUUUUUGCUAUUUCGUACUGUAUAAUUCCUUUGUUUAUGGGAUCAUUUUCCCCGAGGGUUUCCAAUCAAUGGGGGCGUAGUAUAGGUAGUUAGAGAGUGUAGGCUCCCCUAGCUUGAAUUCUUUUUACCCAUUCUUUGAGAGUGAUAGGUUUGAUUUUUCCGUACCGUAAUAGAAGAGCUCAGAAGAAAGACCUAAUUAUAUAAAAACACGACCAUUCAAGCUAAAGAUCAGAGGAUCCGUAAUAGGACUCUCAUAGACUUGCCGGGAAAUAGAAAAUUUGGAAUCGGCUUUUCUUUUGCGCUAAAAAAACUAGAGGCCUUUUCCCUUAUUAUAUGGCAUAUCCAUACUUUAAUAACCUAGUGCCUGAUCGAUUGAAAGCAAUAUUUACUGUCAGAUAGAGAGAUGCUGAUAGGAAAAAGGAUGGUAUUUACUUAUUCUCAAGAAUAUAUAGAAAGGGAAAAGCUUAAUAGCCACUAUUGAUCCCCUGAAUAGAGCACAUGAUUCGGGAUCAGGUGCGAUGUGAAGAGGUAGCCUAGCCUUUUAUGAGAGUCAAUUGGGAAGUGGAAAGGCAAAACCAUUAGUUUAAGUUCCCGGCUUUAGUCCUCUGUGAAGUUCAGUCAGCCAUUUGAGUCAAUUUUGAGUAAAUAGUAAGACUUCGGAUCGCACCAUUCAUAAUGUUGCAUCUCAAUACUUGGCAUCUUUUUCCCACUGCUGGCUCAGAAAUUCGCCUUGGUUUCACUGGAAUUCGUUUAUUUCGUUCAUUAAUUCGUUCUGAUAGCUACGCAGAGGUCUUUCCUUACGACUCCCGUGCUUAAUACAAAAAGCGGUUCUUGUGUGAAAAGUGCCAACUGACUAUCUCCUUAUUUUCUGAUUGUUCUUCCGAUAGGAAUAUUCCCUUGAUCAGCUAACCUGGCCCAAGCAUAACAAUAGUGCAUUUCCCCUUGAUGGUACGAUUUACAUAUCUUCUACCUCUGCUACUUCUGUUCAGGAAGUUUAGUUUAGGCACUCCAUCCCUGAGGGCUGCAUCAGCUUAUCUUUCUAGAAAUCCCAGCUAUAAGCUAGAUCGGUAUAAAUAGGGCAUUAAGCAGCAAUAACAGAGAUAGCAUCCAUGAGUUUUUUAAUCCAUCCUUUAGCAUCGCUGACUCGGACAAGGUGUUUCCUUCCUUCGCAAUACCCGGCCAGGGCAAUGUAGCUAUCCCAAUAAGAUAUGAAAGCUGGACCACACCUGAGCAAGGAACUUAUACAUAGAAGUAACAGUAAAUGUGCAAGAUUUGGACCACUGCCAUUUCCUUAAACCAUCAAUCAACAAAUUGAAAUAGAGAUAUCGGUAUCUUCCAAUCUGCCACAAGGAUCUAGUCGCCAGUAUCUUUGCCUUCUUCCCAACUUAUCCCAGCAUUCCUUGUAUUGCUAUCACUACGAAAAAGCAAGCCUACUUACUACGUGUUUUCCUCUAUUGGCAAAUACGCAUAUACUGACCUACUCACAUGCAUAUCUUGCAUAAAGCCUUCCCCUAAAAAAACAAACUCGCCCGUAUCUUCCUAGUCCUUGUUGCCAGCCCUACUCGACUUUACUCGACUAUUUAGAAAAAGCUACUACUUGAAUGCAUACUUUUACUAUUAUUUAAAGAAAAAACAAAAACUAUUUCUGAGUUUAUGCCCCACCAACAGAGCAAAAGAACGCUCAAAUGAGGAACUAGAAUAUGAAAGUGCAAAAUAUCCUACCGAACAAAGAAAGCACUAUAUCUCAUUUUUAAAAUCUGGUAAAAAUUCUUCAACCUAACUCAACACAACUAUAUUUCGACUAUAUAUGUAUGUUUGUAACGUGCCACAAAACCAUCUUAAGAUUAGACAGUUAUCAAUCAGCAAACGCAUUGACCACAUGCAAAAAAGAAAGACGGAUCUCCUUCCUUUUAUUCGGUGCUUUCCUUUUAUAAGUCACUGCUAUUCUUCCUUGACCCUUCUUACCUUUGCUAGAUUUUGCAUUCCCCUCAUUACUAUUCGGCUCAGUAUUAUCUUCACCUUUGGAAUUGCUUCCACUAGAAGUAGACGACAAGUACCAUAGAUGUCAGAAUUUCGUAUAUAGCAAAUUCAGGUAGUAAGUAAUGGAACUGUAGCAUGCAAAGGGACUGUACCAUGGAAAUUGAGAAGAAAUCUCCAUCAAGUUUUUCCAUUUUAUGCCAUAUGAAUAAGAGAUUCCUUUUAGUUAGAAAGCUCGC
This 4711-nucleotide long non-coding RNA is filed under the name Triticum aestivum (bread wheat). RNAcentral describes it as "long non-coding RNA (TAES_LNC026850)". The record is from RNAcentral. Lineage: Eukaryota; Viridiplantae; Streptophyta; Magnoliopsida; Poales; Poaceae.